Molecule: long non-coding RNA, 425 nt
Organism: Gossypium arboreum
Lineage: Eukaryota; Viridiplantae; Streptophyta; Magnoliopsida; Malvales; Malvaceae
Exons: 2
Source: RefSeq, a predicted model, not a curated record
UAAGCUGCAAAAUUUGGACUGCAAAGUGCAUGAUUUCUGUACCCUCGAUAUUUUUGGGCUUAAUGGGCCAAAAUUGGAAUGAUGGGCCAACGGGCCCAAUUUGGUAAUCCCCAACCAUAGUGGGCUUGGAGCUGUGAGGGAAUUCGAAGUGGCCACCCGUUCUGAAAGUUUGAUUUUCUUCUGGUAAACUGGACAUCCUAUUAUUUACGUUUGAGGUUUGGGUUUUUAAAUGUAAUAAGGCCGCUUAAUUAUUUUUGAUGGCUUUAAUAUGUAUUACUAAGAUAGGUAUUACUUAUUUUAACUGUUGAAAUUGGAUAGCUUUAGGGCGCGUUUUCAAAAACAACAAUUGAUUUCAAAAUAGCACGACAAUAAGCAAAGCUUCCGCAAUGAAAGUAUUUUCUAAAAUUAAUCACUUUUCCUAAAAA